This 506-nucleotide ribosomal RNA is filed under the name uncultured bacterium. RNAcentral's name for it is "partial 16S ribosomal RNA". It matches the Rfam family "Bacterial small subunit ribosomal RNA", at positions 29 to 523 of the family's 1533-position model. The record is from RNAcentral.
AGUGAACGCUGGCGGUAGGCCUAACACAUGCAAGUCGAACGGCAGCACAGGAGAGCUUGCUCUCUGGGUGGCGAGUGGCGGACGGGUGAGGAAUACAUCGGAAUCUACUCUGUCGUGAGGGAUAACGUAGGGAAACUUACGCUAAUACCGCAUACGACCCACGGGUGAAAGCAGGGGAACUUCGGACCUUGCGCGAUUGAAUGAGCCGAGGUCGGAUUAGCUAGUUGGCGGGGUAAAGGCCCACCAAGGCGACGAUCCGUAGCUGGUCUGAGAGGAUGAUCAGCCGAACUGGAACUGAGACACGGUCCAGACUCCUACGGGAGGCAGCAGUGGGGAAUAUUGGACAAUGGGCGCAAGCCUGAUCCAGCCAUACCGCGUGGGUGAAGAAGGCCUUCGGGUUGUAAAGCCCUUUUGUUGGGAAAGAAAUCCAGCUGGCUAAUACCCGGUUGGGAUGACGGUACCCAAAGAAUAAGCACCGGCUAACUUCGUGCCAGCAGCCGCCGUAA